GCCAUCAGGUUAAGCUGGGACUCUAAAGGAACUGCCUACGCAAGUAGUGAGGAAGGCGGGGAUGACGUCAAAUCAGCACGGCCUUACGUCCAGGGCUACACACGUGCUACAAUGGCCGAUACAGAGGGCAGCUACCUGGUGACAGGAUGCAAAUCUCCAAAGUCGGUCUCAGUUCGGAUCGGAGUCUGCAACCCGACUCCGUGAAGUUGGAUUCGCUAGUAAUCGCGCAUCAGCCAUGGCGCGGUGAAUACGUUCCCGGGGCCUU
RNAcentral lists this ribosomal RNA (265 nucleotides) under uncultured Sphingobacteriales bacterium. RNAcentral's name for it is "partial 16S ribosomal RNA". It matches the Rfam family "Bacterial small subunit ribosomal RNA", at positions 1117 to 1382 of the family's 1533-position model. The record is from RNAcentral. Lineage: Bacteria; Pseudomonadati; Bacteroidota; Sphingobacteriia; Sphingobacteriales.